CUUGUUGCUCUGUUUUUUACUUCUCAGCCGCCGUCCAACGUGUGUCUCCGUCGAGCGCCCCCUGCCACCAGGAAGGUUCAACGGAGAAGAUGAUGAAUGGUCCUUCCUUUCACGCCGAGGGGAAAUAAAGGAAAGAG
Long non-coding RNA from Neltuma alba, 137 nucleotides. RefSeq lists it as uncharacterized. The record is from RefSeq and is a predicted model, not a curated record. NCBI's taxonomy places the organism in Eukaryota, Viridiplantae, Streptophyta, Magnoliopsida, Fabales, Fabaceae. The transcript is spliced from 3 exons.